AGGAAAACGGGCUUGGAAGAAUCAGCGGGGAAAGAAGACCCUGUUGAGCUUGACUCUAGUCCGACUUUGUGAAAUGAGUUAAGAGGUGUAGAAUAAGUGGGAGCUCCGGCGACCGUGAAAUACCACUACUUUUAAUCUUGUUUUACUUACUCCACAUACAGGGACGGCCCUUUGGGCCCUCUUUUUGAGUCAAGGCGGUUCGC
RNAcentral lists this ribosomal RNA (203 nucleotides) under Rhodosorus marinus. RNAcentral describes it as "partial Eukaryotic large subunit ribosomal RNA". It matches the Rfam family "Eukaryotic large subunit ribosomal RNA", at positions 2373 to 2580 of the family's 3401-position model. The record is from RNAcentral. Lineage: Eukaryota; Rhodophyta; Stylonematophyceae; Stylonematales; Stylonemataceae.